Long non-coding RNA from Cyprinodon tularosa, 695 nucleotides. RefSeq lists it as uncharacterized. Lineage: Eukaryota; Metazoa; Chordata; Actinopteri; Cyprinodontiformes; Cyprinodontidae. The record is from RefSeq and is a predicted model, not a curated record. The transcript has 3 exons.
AGAGCAGCCAAUGAUGUCAAGGCUGGAGAGUCCAUCAGAUCAGUGGCAAAAGAGAGAAAUAUUGACAGGUCAACAUUGAGGAGAUACAUAAAGAAGAGGGAGGUAAAGGAAGUAAAAGCAGCAGGGUACAGUGGAACAGCAGAAGCAAGGAGAGUCUUUUCAGAGGAGACGGAGAAGGAGCUAGCAGACCAUAUCAAGCAGCUCGCAGACCAGUUCCAUGGCCUUACACCAAAGAAAUGCAGGGAACUGUCAUUAGAAUUGGCAAUCAGAAACAACAUUCCUACCCCCAGCAACUGGAGAGAGAAAGGUUUAGCCGGUAACGAUUGGUUCAGGAAUUUUAUGGCACGCCACCAUCUCUCCUUCCGUAUGCCCGAAGCAACAUCUUUGGGAAGGGCUACGGCCUUUAAUAGAACAACAGUUGGAGAGUUCUUCGACAAUCUGGCUAAGUUGAUGGACAGGCAUAAAUUCCCUCCAAACAUGAUAUAUAAUGUUGGCGAAACAGGAGUAACAACAGUACAGACACCAAAGCAGGUUGUGACAGAAAAAGGAAAGAAACAAGUGGGCGCAAUCACUUCUGCAGAAAGAGGCGAACUGGUGACUGUGGUCUGUGCAGUCAAUGCAACUGGUAAUGCAGUCCCACCCAUGUUUAUCUUCCCAAGGGUUAGAUACAAAGACCACUUCGUUACAGGUGCACC